Molecule: ribosomal RNA, 253 nt
Filed under: uncultured bacterium
Lineage: Bacteria
Description: partial 16S ribosomal RNA
Rfam family: Bacterial small subunit ribosomal RNA
Source: RNAcentral
UACGUAGGGGGCUAGCGUUGUCCGGAAUCAUUGGGCGUAAAGCGCGCGUAGGCGGCCAGAUAAGUCCGGUGUGAAAGUCAAAGGCUCAACCUUUGAAUGCCGCUGGAAACUGUCUGGCUUGAGUCCGGAAGGGGCGAGUGGAAUUCCUGGUGUAGCGGUGAAAUGCGUAGAUAUUGGGAGGAACACCUGCGGCGAAGGCGGCUACCUGGACAGAAACUGACGCUGAGGCGCGAAAGCUAGGGGAGCGAACGGG